Molecule: long non-coding RNA, 3241 nt
Organism: Mustela lutreola (European mink)
Lineage: Eukaryota; Metazoa; Chordata; Mammalia; Carnivora; Mustelidae
Exons: 2
Source: RefSeq, a predicted model, not a curated record
UAAAAGAUUUUUAUUUUAUUUUAUUUUAUUUAUCUGAGACAGAAGGAGCAUGAGCAGGUGGAGAGGCAGGAGAGGGAGAAGCAGGCUCUCCGCUGAGCAGGGAGACGGAUGCAGGGCCCAAUCCCAGGACCCUGAGAAGAUGACCUGAGCCAAAGGCCAACACUUAGCUGACUGAGCCCCCCCAGGCACCCUCAAAUAUAUAUAUAUUUUUUACAUCUACAGCAAAUACUAGAACUGUUCAUAUUUUAGAAACAAAACGCCUCCAUGGCUUCCCCAGUGUGCUCAGAACAUACUAAUCGGAACUCAGAGGCCUUGUGGUCUGAAGUACCAAACUCUCAGGGGCGCCUGGGUGGCUCAGUGGGUUAAGUGUCUGCCUUCGGCUCAGGUCAUGAUCUCGGUCCUGGGAUGGAGACCCACAUCCCGUUCUCUGCUCAGUGGGGAACCUGCACCCCCCACCCCUCUGCCUACUUGUGAUCUCUCACUCUGUCAAAUAAAUAAAUGAAUUCUUAAAAAACAAAUAUUGAAGUACCAAGCUCUCUCUUUAAUUUAAUUAUUUGACAGGGAGAGAGAUCACAAGUAGGCAGAGAGACAAGGAGAGAGGGGGAAGCAGGCUCUCUGCGGGGCUCAAUCCCGGGACCCGGAGACCAUGACAUGAGCUGAAGGCAGAGCCUUAACCCACUGAGCCACCCAGGCGCCCCGAUGUCUUAUUAUUUUUUUUAAAGAUUUAUUUAUUUGAGAGAGAGCAAAGGGGAGAGGGAGAACCAGGCUCCCUGCUUGAAUAAAGGUCCACACAUCACAAUGUUCUGGCUGAGCAGAAAGCCAGUUGCAGGGCUCAAUCCCAGGAUCCUGGGGUCAUGACCUGAGUCAAAGGCAGACACUUAACUAAUUGGGCCACCCAGGUACCCCUCAUCAAUGUCUUUUUUUUUUUUUUUUUUAAAGACUUUAUUUACAUAUUUGACAGACAGAGAUCAUAAGCAGGCAGAGAGGUGGAAGCAGGCUCCCUGCUGAGCAGAGAGCCCGAUGCGGGGCUCGAUCCCAGGACCCUGGGAUCAUGACCUGAGCUGAAGGCAGAGGCUUUAACCCACUGAGCCAUCCAGGCGCCUCCAUCAAUGUCUUUUGAAGGACAAAAGUUCUUAAGCUUGAUAAACUACAUUAAUUUGUUCUUUUAUAAUUUGUGCCAAACUAGCUGAAUGAAGAGUCCGCCGGGUGGAAAUGGCAGUAGGUGAGUCGUUACGGAAGAGGACGUUAGCGAGACUGAAGGUGCACGAAGACAAACUGCAAAUGGAACAGAGGGGAUGAGAACAGGCGGCAUCCGUGAGCCGUGCAGCAGUGCCAGGCAGCUGGUGCGUGUGCUGUGCGGCCCAAGGAGCAGCAUUUUGCCUUGUGAACUCGACACCUUGGCUUCCUGGCUUCCCAGAUCCAUCCGCUCAACGCAUGGAGACCACGGGGCUCUGCUUGAGUUCUCCCUCCUUGCUGCACAUCCUGAAAACCAGAUGGAGAGCUGGAGGAGUCCUAGAAUUCAACGCUGUUGUUCCUUUCAGGGUCUCAGGACUUCAGUGUUCAGAACUGUUUUACGUAUUUUGUGUUUUUAGUUUUCAGGUGGAAAAUAAUUCUGGUUCCUGCUACUUCAUCUUCACUGGAACCAGAAGUCUCAUUAAGUUCCCCCCCCUUCUUAAAAUUUUAUUUGAGCCAGAGAGAGAGAAGGGGCAGAGGCAGAGUGAGAAUCCCAAGCCAACCCUACGCUGAGUGCAGAACCCACCAUAGGGCUCAACCACAUGACCCCAAGUUCAUCACCUGAGCUGAAACCAAGUCAGCCACUGAACUGACUGAGCCACCUAGACGCCCGUCUUUAAAUCCAUUUUUAAAAGCAUAAAAUGUGGGGGUGCCUGGGUGGCUUAUUUGUUGGGCGUCUGCCUUAGGCUCAGGUUAUGCAUGAUCUCAGGGUCCUGGGAUUGAGUCCCACAUCAGUUCCCUGCUCCACGGGAAGCCUACUUCUCCCUCUGCCUGCUCCCCUGCUUAUAUUCCCUUUCUCACUGACUCUGUGUCAAAAAAAAAAAAAAAAAAAAGUGUAAAAUGUGGAAACUCCCCUACAGAUACUGAGAUAUUAAAGUUCUAAUAAUAGGGGCGCCUGGGUUGAGCAGCUGCCUUCGGCUCAGGCCAUGAUCCCAGUGCCCUGGGAUCGAGUCCCACAUCGGUCUCCUUGCUCAGCGGGGAGCCUGCUUCUCCCUCUGCCUCUGCCUGCCUCUCUGUCUGCCUGUGCUCGCUCGCUCUCUCUCCCUCUAUCUCUGACAAAUAAAUAAAUCUUUUAAAAAAAAGUUACAAUAAUAAAGAUAAUAUAGUGCAACUGUAGGAAAAAAGCAGACCUACAGAAUGCACGGGCCCAUAAACAGACCCCUGUAAAUGUGGGAACGCAGUAAAUACAGGGGCGCCGCGUACUGGAAAGAAUGGAUUGUUCCACACACUGGAUUGGGAAAAUGGGCUCAGCGUAUGAAUACAAAAAGCUGUAUCUCGACUUCACACCAUAUACAACGUGAGCUCUAGAUAGAUUCAGCACAAUAUCAAAGGUAAAAUCAUAGAUCUAAUUAAAAAUAGGAAAAUACAUUUUUAUAAUUCGCUAAAUAAUUUAUUAAAAGUAAGCUCUGUACCCAACACAGGGCUUGAACUUGUUACCCUGAGGUCAAGGGUUGCACACUCUACCAACUGAGCCAGCCAGGCGCCCCAGGAAAAUACCUUUCUAUUAGUGUGUGCAGGGAUUGCUUAAGACCAAAAAGACGCCUACAACGUGGGAGAAAACGACAAGUCUUACGUCACCAAAAUUUAAGGAUUUCUUUUCAACAGAAGCUGGAGAGCAGCAUGAAACAGAUUUUCCCUCAGAGCCCUCAGAAGGAGCCGACCCUGCUGACUUCCGGAUUUCAGACUUCUGGGUGUCCAGCAGACUGUGCCAACGUCCUGCUGUUUUGGGUCUCCUGGUCUAUGGUGACUUGUAGCCUGUAGUCAGCACAGAUAAGAGUUCAUAGUCUCAGAAAGUCCUAUCAGAUAGGGUUGAUUUAGAAUAUUUGUGGAGCUCUUGAAAAUCCAAAGGAAAAAUUCAGAGAUAGAAAAAUGUACCAAGAAUAGGAAUAAGCUGUUCAUUCAGGGGAAAUCCUCCGUGAUGGAGAGAAGGGAUGAAAUGUUAGUGCAUUCUGCAGCAUGGGUUAAUCUCAGAUGUGAUGUUGAGUAAAAAUAAAAAUCUGCAGCCUAA